GUGAGCUGAAAUGUUGGGUGCACGCGCAUCUUCGAGUCACUACCUCAGAAGGCGAGGGUCAGCACGCUAACAACAUUUUCAGGGCUUUUAAAUCGUGUCUGAAAUCGAAUGAAAGAAAAUCGACGUUUCCGACGUGGCAGACGAGCUAAAGUGCUCACCCUCUCUGGUGUGAAGUUGCGGGCGAGCGUUGUGCGUUGGUGAGGGUCAAGGCCUUGGCAGCCGUUGAGGAACUCUGGCAGAAAGGAGGAAUAAAAAGCUGGGAAAUCUACAGCAGCCAUGUUGUAGAGCGCCAGAGUGAUGUCAUCUUGCAAGAGGUCAUGGCUCUUAUGCAGAAGUACUUGUAGCAGCACAUUGAUGAAAUGGAAGAGCAUGGAGUUCCUGAACAGCUUCUGAACAAGCACACACACACACCCUUGCAUCAGGAUCAUUAGCGCCCCUGCCUCAUCAACUGGAGACUGGAUAAUGAAUUUGGACAAAACAAUGACUUGUAGAGUGCUUGUGCUAUUAGUAGGUUUAGAAGGCUGCACCUUCAUAGUUUUGGGGCUGUUUAAAAGGUGGAGU
Molecule: long non-coding RNA, 561 nt
Organism: Hemibagrus wyckioides
Lineage: Eukaryota; Metazoa; Chordata; Actinopteri; Siluriformes; Bagridae
Exons: 3
Source: RefSeq, a predicted model, not a curated record